UUCAGUUGCAAUUCGACAAGUGGAAACUCCGAAUCCGUGAAGGAAUCAACAAAUCGAUGCACAUAAUGCGCUUUAUAUGGCACUUCAGAGUGACACAUUUCUUUUAAGUGCCACCAUGACAAAAUAAGAAUCUUUUAGAAAGAGAUGAAAUCUUUAGAAAAUCUUAAUAUAUCGAUUUGUGAUACGUGUACCUCACACGAUCAUGACAAGAGGCCUCUCC
Molecule: long non-coding RNA, 220 nt
Filed under: Elaeis guineensis (African oil palm)
Lineage: Eukaryota; Viridiplantae; Streptophyta; Magnoliopsida; Arecales; Arecaceae
Description: long non-coding RNA (EGUI_LNC074175)
Source: RNAcentral